RNAcentral lists this ribosomal RNA (323 nucleotides) under uncultured eukaryote. Its description in RNAcentral is "partial 18S ribosomal RNA". It matches the Rfam family "Eukaryotic small subunit ribosomal RNA", at positions 1470 to 1796 of the family's 1831-position model. The record is from RNAcentral.
CCCUUAGAUGUCCUGGGCUGCACGCGUGCUACACUGAACGGUUCAAUGGGUAAGGUAGUGCGAAAGCAUGACCUAAUCUCGAAAUCCGUUCGUGCUGGGGAUAGAAGCUUGCAAUUAUCCUUCUUGAACGAGGAAUACCUUGUAAGCGUGAGUCAUCAUCUCACGCUGAAUACGUCCCUGCCCUUUGUACACACCGCCCGUCGCUCCUACCGAUUGAGUGUUCCGGUGAGGCUUUGGGAGAAUGGCCUCAACAUGAGUUUAUCGUGUUUUGCCGUUUGAACUUAGUCAAACCUUAUCACUUAGAGGAAGGAGAAGUCGUAACA